This 903-nucleotide ribosomal RNA is filed under the name Tubeufia aquatica. RNAcentral describes it as "eukaryotic LSU rRNA". It matches the Rfam family "Eukaryotic large subunit ribosomal RNA", at positions 74 to 1000 of the family's 3401-position model. The record is from RNAcentral. Lineage: Eukaryota; Fungi; Ascomycota; Dothideomycetes; Tubeufiales; Tubeufiaceae.
AUUGCCUCAGUAACGGCGAGUGAAGCGGCAAUAGCUCAAAUUUGAAAUCUGGCUCUUUUAGAGUCCGAGUUGUAAUUUGUAGAGGAUGCUUCGGCUUACGUCUCGGUCUAAGUUCCUUGGAACAGGACGUCACAGAGGGUGAGAAUCCCGUUUGUGGCCGCGACUUCCGCCAUGUGAAGCUCCUUCGACGAGUCGAGUUGUUUGGGAAUGCAGCUCUAAAUGGGAGGUAUAUUUCUUCUAAAGCUAAAUACCGGCCAGAGACCGAUAGCGCACAAGUAGAGUGAUCGAAAGAUGAAAAGCACUUUGGAAAGAGAGUUAAAAAGUACGUGAAAUUGUUGAAAGGGAAGCGCUUGCGACCAGACUUGCCCGCGGAUGCUCAACCGGUCCUUCGGCCGGUGCACUCUUCCGCGGUCAGGCCAGCAUCAGUUCGAGCAGUUGGAUAAAGGCUUUGGGAAUGUGGCUCUCUUCGGGGAGUGUUAUAGCCCUUUGUGCAAUACAACUCGCUUGGACUGAGGCCCGCGCUUCGGCUAGGAUGCUGGCGUAAUGGUCGUAAGCGGCCCGUCUUGAAACACGGACCAAGGAGUCUAACAUCUAUGCGAGUGUUUGGGUGUCAAACCCGUGCGCGAAAUGAAAGUGAACGGAGGUGGGAACCUUUGGGUGCACCAUCGACCGAUCCUGAUGUCUUCGGAUGGAUUUGAGUAAGAGCAUAGCUGUUGGGACCCGAAAGAUGGUGAACUAUGCCUGAAUAGGGUGAAGCCAGAGGAAACUCUGGUGGAGGCUCGCAGCGGUUCUGACGUGCAAAUCGAUCGUCAAAUUUGGGUAUAGGGGCGAAAGACUAAUCGAACCAUUUGCUAGGUGGUUAAGAGGCAUCUCAAAGUGCAUGCCUAGUCCCUACAUUCGGGG